Molecule: ribosomal RNA, 433 nt
Filed under: uncultured Desulfobulbus sp.
Lineage: Bacteria; Pseudomonadati; Thermodesulfobacteriota; Desulfobulbia; Desulfobulbales; Desulfobulbaceae
Description: bacterial SSU rRNA
Rfam family: Bacterial small subunit ribosomal RNA
Source: RNAcentral
AUGCAACGCGAAGAACCUUACCUGGUCUUGACAUCCCGGAGACCCUUAGGAAACUAGGGGUGCUUCCAUCUGGAAGAAUCUGGAGACAGGUGCUGCAUGGCUGUCGUCAGCUCGUGUCGUGAGAUGUUGGGUUAAGUCCCGCAACGAGCGCAACCCUUGCCUUUAGUUGCCAGCAGUUCGGCUGGGCACUCUAAAGGGACUGCCGGUGUUAAACCGGAGGAAGGUGGGGAUGACGUCAAGUCCUCAUGGCCUUUAUGACCAGGGCUACACACGUACUACAAUGGCCGAUACAAAGGGCAGCGACACUGCGAGGUGAAGCCAAUCCCGUAAAAUCGGUCUCAGUCCGGAUUGGAGUCUGCAACUCGACUCCAUGAAGUUGGAAUCGCUAGUAAUCGUGGAUCAGAACGCCGCGGUGAAUACGUUCUCGGGGUUU